Molecule: ribosomal RNA, 468 nt
Filed under: uncultured bacterium
Lineage: Bacteria
Description: partial 16S ribosomal RNA
Rfam family: Bacterial small subunit ribosomal RNA
Source: RNAcentral
GACGAACGCUGGCGGCGUGCUUAACACAUGCAAGUCGAACGGAAAGGCCCUGCUUUUGUGGGGUGCUCGAGUGGCGAACGGGUGAGUAACACGUGAGUAACCUGCCCUUGACUUUGGGAUAACUUCAGGAAACUGGGGCUAAUACCGGAUAGGAGCUCCUGCUGCAUGGUGGGGGUUGGAAAGUUUCGGCGGUUGGGGAUGGACUCGCGGCUUAUCAGCUUGUUGGUGGGGUAGUGGCUUACCAAGGCUUUGACGGGUAGCCGGCCUGAGAGGGUGACCGGCCACAUUGGGACUGAGAUACGGCCCAGACUCCUACGGGAGGCAGCAGUGGGGAAUAUUGCACAGUGGGCGGAAGCCUGAUGCAGCAACGCCGCGUGCGGGAUGACGGCCUUCGGGUUGUAAACCGCUUUCGCCAGUGACGAAGCGUGAGUGACGGUAAUGGGUAAAGAAGCACCGGCUAACUACGUG